UAGGGAGUCUUCCACAAUGGACGAAAGUCUGAUGGAGCAACGCCGCGUGAGUGAAGAAGGGUUUCAGCUCGUAAAACUCUGUUGUUAAAGAAGAACAUAUCUGAGAGUAACUGUUCAGGUAUUGACGGUAUUUAACCAGAAAGCCACGGCUAACUACGUGCCAC
This 164-nucleotide ribosomal RNA is filed under the name uncultured bacterium. RNAcentral's name for it is "partial 16S rRNA". It matches the Rfam family "Bacterial small subunit ribosomal RNA", at positions 355 to 511 of the family's 1533-position model. The record is from RNAcentral.